Molecule: long non-coding RNA, 905 nt
Organism: Camponotus floridanus (Florida carpenter ant)
Lineage: Eukaryota; Metazoa; Arthropoda; Insecta; Hymenoptera; Formicidae
Exons: 3
Source: RefSeq, a predicted model, not a curated record
AUACGCCUAGAAUACAAGCGAAUACAGAGAUAAAUGUAAGAUGACUCGUAAAAAUAUAAUUAGUAGCAUAAUGGUGUUCAUGUUAUCUUUGUGCGGUAUUUGGCCAGGCAAAUCAAUAAUUUUAAUCAGCAGAGUUUUGGAUUGUUACACUAACAUUUAUCGAAUUUUGUCAUUACUUUUAUUUUUCAAUGCAUUUAAAUUCCCAGAAUCUUUUCAAUUUAAUGGAUUGCUUGAGCAGUUUUUAACACAUGUCAAUGUAGUCACUAAACUUGUUGCAUUCUGAAUAAAUCAGUGAGUAAACGGCGCCAACGCUAUUCUCUAUCAGUCAGAAAUGUCGAUAUGUUUCUAAGAUACGGUUUAUAUUUGGCUCCGGCAGCAUGAUCGAGCAAUCAAAUCAUCCACAGAAAAUUCGUAGAAACUUUGACGUUAAUCACGGACAACUGGGAUGAUUGCGCUUACAGUGACAUUGACGUGCGUGUGAUAAUGCAUAAGGGAAAAUUAUCGAAUCGUAUCACAAUGCAAUAUAAAUACUCAUUCUUUAUACGAUGACUAUCAUCACGUAUUGUUUUGGAGUCAUCAUGGCCGAUGCCAAUGUUCUGUCCACAGAUGUCUACAGAUCAAACGAUCGCCUUUCGUCAACAAAUUGAAACUUUCAGUAUUAACAGCGCAUGUAUAAGCUUGUAUUAACAGCGGAAUUCGUGCACUUGGUUCUCUGUAAUUGGACAGCCGGUAUUAUAAAUGCCAUACUUUUGACUUUGACAAUUGGCAUUCCUGAUGCUGCGAAACAGAUUACAAAUGUAGUAAAUGUUUAUACAGUAAAUGUUUAUACAAAUCUAGAAGCAGGUAUAUUUUGCUACGCUAGAGAAUAUCGAGACAAUAAGAUUUCUAUGAAAUAAUUGUUAUAA